GUCAUUUAGUGGAAGUAAAAGUNGUAACAAGGUUUCCGUAGGUGAACCUGCGGAAGGAUCAUUA
Molecule: ribosomal RNA, 64 nt
Filed under: Octaviania nonae
Lineage: Eukaryota; Fungi; Basidiomycota; Agaricomycetes; Boletales; Boletaceae
Description: partial 18S ribosomal RNA
Rfam family: Eukaryotic small subunit ribosomal RNA
Source: RNAcentral